Molecule: ribosomal RNA, 345 nt
Filed under: uncultured bacterium
Lineage: Bacteria
Description: bacterial SSU rRNA
Rfam family: Bacterial small subunit ribosomal RNA
Source: RNAcentral
AGGGUUUGAUUAUGGCUCAGGACGAACGCUGGCGGCGUGCCUAACACAUGCAAGUCGAACGAGAAUCUUUGGAAUGAUUCUUUCGGGAUGAAUUCCAAAGAGGAAAGUGGCGGACGGGCGAGUAACGCGUGAGUAACCUGCCCAUAAGAGGGGGAUAAUCCAUGGAAACGUGGACUAAUACCGCAUAUUGUAGUUAAGUUGCAUGACUUGAUUAUGAAAGAUUUAUCGCUUAUGGAUGGACUCGCGUCAGAUUAGAUAGUUGGUGAGGUAACGGCUCACCAAGUCAACGAUCUGUAGCCGAACUGAGAGGUUGAUCGGCCGCAUUGGGACUGAGACACGGCCCAG